Molecule: ribosomal RNA, 540 nt
Filed under: uncultured diatom
Lineage: Eukaryota; Bacillariophyta
Description: SSU rRNA
Rfam family: Eukaryotic small subunit ribosomal RNA
Source: RNAcentral
ACAUCCAAGGAAGGCAGCAGGCGCGUAAAUUACCCAAUCCUGACACAGGGAGGUAGUGACAAUAAAUAACAAUGCCGGGCCUUUGUAGGUCUGGCAAUUGGAAUGAGAACAAUUUAAACCCCUUAUCGAGUAUCAAUUGGAGGGCAAGUCUGGUGCCAGCAGCCGCGGUAAAUCCAGCUCCAAUAGCGUAUAUUAAAGUUGUUGCAGUUAAAAAGCUCGUAGUUGGAUUUGUGGCUGUCUCGAGCGGCCUAGCACCUAGUGUUAGUGCCUGCUUGGGUCGCCAUCCUUGGGUGGAGCCUGUGUGGCAUUAGGUUGUCGUGCAGGGGAUGCCCAUCGUUUACUGUGAGAAAAUUAGAGUGUUCAAAGCAGGCUUAUGCCGUUGAAUAUGUUAGCAUGGAAUAAUAAGAUAGGACCUCGGUACUAUUUUGUUGGUUUGCGCACGAGGUAAUGAUUAAUAGGGACAGUUGGGGGUAUUCGUAUUCCAUUGUCAGAGGUGAAAUUCUUUGAUUUCUGGAAGACGAACUACUGCGAAAGCAUUUA